RNAcentral lists this ribosomal RNA (425 nucleotides) under uncultured bacterium. RNAcentral's name for it is "bacterial SSU rRNA". It matches the Rfam family "Bacterial small subunit ribosomal RNA", at positions 359 to 775 of the family's 1533-position model. The record is from RNAcentral.
GAAUUGUUCGCAAUGGGCGCAAGCCUGACGACGCAACGCCGCGUGGAGGAUGAAGGUCUUCGGAUUGUAAACUCCUGUUGACCGGAAAGAAUGGGCUUCGACCUAAUACGUCGAGGCAAUGACGGUACCGGUUGAGGAAGCCACGGCUAACUCUGUGCCAGCAGCCGCGGUAAUACAGAGGUGGCAAGCGUUGUUCGGAAUUACUGGGCGUAAAGGGCGCGUAGGCGGUCGCCUAAGUCGGACGUGAAAUCCCCAGGCUUAACUUGGGAACUGCGUCCGAUACUGGGUGACUUGAGUUCGGGAGAGGAAUGUGGAAUUCCAGGUGUAGCGGUGAAAUGCGUAGAUAUCUGGAGGAACACCGGUGGCGAAGGCGGCAUUCUGGACCGAAACUGACGCUGAGGCGCGAAAGCCAGGGGAGCAAACGG